UUGGAGAAGUUUGAUCCUGGCUCAGAACGAACGCUGGCGGCAGGCUUAACACAUGCAAGUCGAACGCCCCGCAAGGGGAGUGGCAGACGGGUGAGUAACGCGUGGGAACAUACCCUUUCCUGCGGAAUAGCUCCGGGAAACUGGAAUUAAUACCGCAUACGCCCUACGGGGGAAAGAUUUAUCGGGGAAGGAUUGGCCCGCGUUGGAUUAGCUAGUUGGUGGGGUAAAGGCCUACCAAGGCGACGAUCCAUAGCUGGUCUGAGAGGAUGAUCAGCCACAUUGGGACUGAGACACGGCCCAAACUCCUACGGGAGGCAGCAGUGGGGAAUAUUGGACAAUGGGCGCAAGCCUGAUCCAGCCAUGCCGCGUGAGUGAUGAAGGCCUUAGGUUUAAAGCUCUUUCACCGGAGAAGAUAAGACG
Molecule: ribosomal RNA, 420 nt
Filed under: Agrobacterium tumefaciens
Lineage: Bacteria; Pseudomonadati; Pseudomonadota; Alphaproteobacteria; Hyphomicrobiales; Rhizobiaceae
Description: bacterial SSU rRNA
Rfam family: Bacterial small subunit ribosomal RNA
Source: RNAcentral